This 460-nucleotide ribosomal RNA is filed under the name uncultured bacterium. Its description in RNAcentral is "partial 16S ribosomal RNA". It matches the Rfam family "Bacterial small subunit ribosomal RNA", at positions 338 to 795 of the family's 1533-position model. The record is from RNAcentral.
CCUACGGGAGGCAGCAGUGAGGAAUAUUGGUCAAUGGACGAGAGUCUGAACCAGCCAAGUAGCGUGAAGGAUGACUGCCCUAUGGGUUGUAAACUUCUUUUAUAUGGGAAUAAAAUGUUCCACGUGUGGGUUUUUGUAUGUACCAUAUGAAUAAGGAUCGGCUAACUCCGUGCCAGCAGCCGCGGUAAUACGGAGGAUCCGAGCGUUAUCCGGAUUUAUUGGGUUUAAAGGGAGCGUAGGUGGAUUGUUAAGUCAGUGGAGAAAGUUUGCGGCUCAACCGUAAAAUUGCAGUUGAAACUGGCAGUCUUGAGUACAGUAGAGGUAGGCGGAAUUCGUGGUGCAGCGGUGAAAUGCUUAGAUAUCACGAAGAACUCCGAUUGCGAAGGCAGCUCACUGGACUGCAACUGACACUGAGGCUCGAAAGUGUGGGUAUCAAACAGGAUUAGAUACCCGAGUAGUC